Molecule: ribosomal RNA, 372 nt
Filed under: uncultured organism
Description: partial 16S ribosomal RNA
Rfam family: Bacterial small subunit ribosomal RNA
Source: RNAcentral
GGAGGGUGCAAGCGUUGUUCGGAAUUAUUGGGCGUAAAGAGCGUGUAGGCGGUCCGGUAAGUCAGAUGUGAAAGCCCUGGGCUCAACCCAGGAAGUGCAUUUGAAACUACCAGACUUGAGUACGGGAGAGGAGGGGGGAAUUCCCGGUGUAGAGGUGAAAUUCGUAGAUAUCGGGAGGAAUACCAGUGGCGAAGGCGCCCCUCUGGACCGAUACUGACGCUGAGACGCGAAAGCGUGGGGAGCAAACAGGAUUAGAUACCCUGGUAGUCCACGCCGUAAACGAUGAGCACUAGGUGUAGCGGGUAUUGACCCCCUGCUGUGCCGUAGCUAACGCAUUAAGUGCUCCGCCUGGGGACUACGGUCGCAAGACUA